Mesocricetus auratus (golden hamster) is the source of this 567-nucleotide long non-coding RNA. RefSeq lists it as uncharacterized. NCBI's taxonomy places the organism in Eukaryota, Metazoa, Chordata, Mammalia, Rodentia, Cricetidae. The transcript is spliced from 3 exons. The record is from RefSeq and is a predicted model, not a curated record.
UCUGUGAGGGUGGACCCAUUCUCCUUCUGUACACACACACUAGUCACACACCCAUUUGCUUACUGGACACUGUCAGAGCACAGCUACAGGACUAUAAAAGGAAAAGUCACCUGAGUCCUCCCCACACUCAAGAUGAAACUCAUUUUGCUGGUCAUUCUACUCACAGUGAGGCACAUCUGCUCCUAACAGCACUGAUUUGCUUCAAAAGAGGAUGAUGACAUCCAAGGGACUCUGCAUGGACUUUGCUUUCUGUAUAGCAAAAGCUAGCUGUGUGGACAAAUAAACUCCCUCGCUUCAAUUGCUGACAGUAUACUGUACAGACUGGACCAGCAGGACCCAAAAGAAGGCGAUUGCCAAACCCAUCCAAGACAAGAUGAAGACAAAGCCUUGAGGACUUGAUCUGCAACAGUGACUGAGAGGCCACCAUCUGCUUCUCCAAGGCUCUAACAACAAGGAGAACAAAAACAUUUGGUGUUAGACUUGUCACCUCAUUUACUGCCUACACCAUCCCUGCAUACCUGGUUGUGUUCACCACACACUGUACCCUCUAAUAAAGAACCUAUCAAA